GCAAUGGAGAACAUUUACAGAGGACUGUGGGUAAAGCAAAGUCUUCAAGGGAAGAUAACAAAGGAUGAAACAAUGGUGUUGUGUGACUUCCUAGUGUGAAUCAUGGCAAUACAGUGAAAGACAGUGAUUUACUGCUUUUGAGGGCGUGCAUGUAUAUGAUUAACGGAUGGAAGUGCAGGACUCCAAGAUUUACUUCCUUCCCUUUCCAGCAGAAUUACCUGAGACGAGUAAAAUCUACUGGUGGAGUCACUCCAUUAUUCUUAUCUGUGGAGAUCUAGAUCUUGAUUUGAAAGUUUCUGAGAAAAUCUUCAGCUCAGACUUGAGGGUCAACUUUACCAGCUGAAGGAUCUGCAUUUACUGCUCAACCACAUCUAAUUUGAUGUCCUCUGCAGAUUUAAAAUGUGUGCCUUCUUUUCCGUCACCAAGUCAUCCCUGGGUUACUACUGAACAUCCUUCUCAAUUCCCCCCGACCCAUGGAUGGCUGUUCUCCAUUGUCUGUUUCACCAGAUGUCCUCAAAACAAACAGACAGAAGAAGGAAGUGGCUAAUGGAGCUGUGGAGUCCAAGUGUGACUGCCAAGAGGAAUCCAGCAAAGCCAAAAAGCCCAAGCAUGUAGCCCUGCCCGAAGCACGCCACACGCAUGGAAAACCCAGAGGAAAUGAGUGAGGAUCAAUGGGAAGAAGAGAGCCAGCCAGGUUCGAUGCCUUCUCCAUCCGUCAGUGAGGGUGUGGAGAGCCUGCAGGCGUGUGCCUCCCUCUGUAACUUGCUAUUCCUUGUGUAAUGUCAAGUGGAAGUGUGAAGCACCACAAACUGCUCUGAGCAGAGCCCACUUCCCUUCACCCACGGAGAGCGUGAAGCAGUUACACCAACAUCAAUCAAGGAAAACCCACAGGCUGAGCUCACACGGUUGAAGCAGCUCUGUAUUCUAAGAACCUGGAAACAAUCUUUAUUCACACUGUUAAGACGAUUGAGAAAAAUGGAUGGAUAGAGUUUAUUUGCUAAGAGAAAAACUGAGUGACUACCUAGCUACCUCACUCCUUUUUGCUCUAUUGGAAGUUGAAGAUUUGUCCAGGAGCAGAUAGCUGAAGAGAGAGAGAGAGAAGAGAGAACGGCUUACAGCUCAGUUCUGGAGACCAGAAGGCCAAAAUCAAAAGUAUGGGCAGGCUUGAUUUCUUUAGAAGACUCCAGCGGAGAACUGUGUCUCCUUGCUUCUGAUUCUACAUCUCCAUCCAUGGGCCACUGUUUCAGCAACCUCAGCCAGUGCAACACAACCUCAGCCAAGAAGAGUAUGCAGAGAAAGGAGUCCCCUACCUGCCACAAAACUGUUGUCUGAAAACUGUCUCAUAUUGUCUCAAGUUGUCAUUCAUUGUGAAUUAGACCUGUUUAACAUGUAAUCUGCAACA
Molecule: long non-coding RNA, 1402 nt
Filed under: Homo sapiens (human)
Lineage: Eukaryota; Metazoa; Chordata; Mammalia; Primates; Hominidae
Description: cancer susceptibility 15
Source: RNAcentral